GUGGGGAAUAUUGGACAAUGGGCGAAAGCCUGAUCCAGCCAUGCCGCGUGUGUGAAGAAGGUCUUCGGAUUGUAAAGCACUUUAAGUUGGGAGGAAGGGCAGUAAGUUAAUACCUUGCUGUUUUGACGUUACCGACAGAAUAAGCACCGGCUAACUUCGUGCCAGCAGCCGCGGUAAUACGAAGGGUGCAAGCGUUAAUCGGAAUUACUGGGCGUAAAGCGCGCGUAGGUGGUUUUGUAAGUUGGAGGUGAAAUCCCCGGGCUCAACCUGGGAACUGCCUCCAAAACUGCAUGACUAGAGUACGGUAGAGGGUAGUGGAAUUUCCUGUGUAGCGGUGAAAUGCGUAGAUAUAGGAAGGAACACCAGUGGCGAAGGCGACUACCUGGACUGAUACUGACACUGAGGUGUGAAAGCGUGGGGAGCAAACAGGAUUAGAUACCCUUGUAGUCC
Molecule: ribosomal RNA, 450 nt
Filed under: uncultured bacterium
Lineage: Bacteria
Description: partial 16S ribosomal RNA
Rfam family: Bacterial small subunit ribosomal RNA
Source: RNAcentral